Desmophyllum pertusum is the source of this 73-nucleotide non-coding RNA. The record is from the annotation of a GenBank genome assembly. Lineage: Eukaryota; Metazoa; Cnidaria; Anthozoa; Scleractinia; Caryophylliidae.
GGACAAGUGGCCUAAUGGUUAGUGCAUUGGACUCGGAAUCGAGCAGACCAGGUUCGAGCGCUGGCCUGGGUCA